GACGAACGCUGGCGGCGUGCUUAACACAUGCAAGUCGAACGGACAGGCCCUGCUUUUGUGGGGUGCUCGAGUGGCGCACGGGUGAGUAGCACGUGUGUAACAUGCCCUUGACUUUGGGAUAACUUCAGGAAACUGGGGCUCAUACCGGAUAGGAGCUCCUGCUGCAUGGUGGGGGUUGGAAAGUUUCGGCGGUUGGGGAUCGACUCGCGGCUUAUCAGCUUGUUGGUGAGGUAGUGGCUUACCAAGGCUUUGACGGGUAGCCGGCCUGAGAGGGUGACCGGCCACAAUGGGACUGAGAGACGGCCCAGACGGCUACGGGAGGCAGCAGGCGAGAAUAUUGCGCAAUGGGCGGAAGCCUGAUGCAACAACGCCGCGUGCGGGAUGACGGCCUUCGGGUGGUAAACCGCUGUCGCCUGUGACGAAGCGGGAGUGACGGUAAUGGGUAAAGAAGCACCGGCUAACUACGUG
This 468-nucleotide ribosomal RNA is filed under the name uncultured bacterium. Its description in RNAcentral is "partial 16S ribosomal RNA". It matches the Rfam family "Bacterial small subunit ribosomal RNA", at positions 28 to 507 of the family's 1533-position model. The record is from RNAcentral.